This 430-nucleotide ribosomal RNA is filed under the name uncultured bacterium. RNAcentral describes it as "bacterial SSU rRNA". It matches the Rfam family "Bacterial small subunit ribosomal RNA", at positions 774 to 1210 of the family's 1533-position model. The record is from RNAcentral.
AGUCAAUAGAUACCCUGGUAGUCCACGCUAGUAAACGGUGGAUACUAGGUGUUGGUGGUUUAACGCCAUCAGUGCCGAAAGCAAAAACGCGUUAAGUAUCCCGCCUGGGGACUACGGCCGCAAGGCUAAAACUCAAAGGAAUUAGACGGGGGACCCGCACAAGCAGCGGAGCGUGUGGUUUAAUUCGAGGCUACACGAAGAACCUUACCUGGGCUUGACAUGGUCGUAGUAGUGAAGCGAAAGCGGAACGACCCUUCGGGGAGCGAUCACAGGUGCUGCAUGGCUGUCGUCAGCUCGUGCCGUGAGGUGUUGGGUUAAGUCCCGCAACGAGCGCAACCCUUUGCCGUUAGUUACAAGUGUCUAACGGGACUGCCGGUUUAACACCGGAGGAAGGUGGGAUGACGUCAAGUCAGCAUGGCCUUUAUGUCCA